RNAcentral lists this long non-coding RNA (3565 nucleotides) under Salvia miltiorrhiza (redroot sage). RNAcentral's name for it is "long non-coding RNA (SMIL_LNC012235)". Lineage: Eukaryota; Viridiplantae; Streptophyta; Magnoliopsida; Lamiales; Lamiaceae. The record is from RNAcentral.
AGCAAAGCAAGGGAGAGUGUGGGAAAACUAUAGAGUGAAGGUUGUGCUUCGAGGGUGAGUUUUUCUUUGCUUUUUCUCAACUGAAAAUGCUUUAUGGCCAUGGCUUUUUACACAUAUGUGUGCUAAAUUAUGUGAGGAUAUGUUUUAUGAUUUUGGAUGAUUAUUUUGGUAGAGUUUAUUGGGUGAAAAACCGUGCAUGAGGUAAGGCAGCGAAUCUGCCAUAAGCACACUGCUCGGCAGUGUUUUGCAAGGCGAUUCCAGCCAUCCAAACGGUUCCCAAACAUUCCCAAAUUAAUGUGUAUCAUCUUUCAUAUGUUUUCUAUACUUUGGUAAAAUUUCAGAAGUUUGGAGCUCUUAUGAUUUAUUAUGAAUUUGUAAACAUCACUGUCCAUCUGGAAUACAUUUUUGGUAAACAAUCUUUGGGAGGCCAUAAGUAAAGUUUCAAUCGGUGAAAACCUUUGAAACUUGAAUAUGUCACUCUAGACUCCCGUAUCUUUCUUUUGACAUCGGUCUCACCAUUUUUGAGUAAGGGAAACAACCGGUAUAAAUUCUUGAAAUCUAGUUCUUAUUCCUUGUACCAUUCAGUAGAUUUUACAAACCUACGACUUUGAGGUGGCAAAUGCCGACUUAAAUCUUUGAUUCUCAAGCGUAUCUUUCUAUUGAAUAUUCACUGACAUGUUGGGAACUUACUUGUUCAGUUUUAGAAUUUUUGGUGAAGCCUAAAGUGGUUUUCCGAUUUAUGUUCUGAAUCUGCCAAACUUGAACUCUUUUUGUGCACUGAACUUUAGAUAGUCAUAUCUUCUAAACCAUGAAUGUUCUUGGAGUAAAUCCAACUGUAGAGUGUUAUGAUCUCUCCCUAGUUUCCAGAUUGACCCUUGGGGUUCCCAGUGGAGUUUGUAAAGGGAGAUAUGAUUUUUAAGAAAGCCCAUUGACUUGGUUGUAAUCUGGAAAUCUGAAAUUUUCAGAUUUUUGCUUGUUAAAUACCCAUCUUUGAGAGGACAUAUCUUGCUCGUUUGAAUUUUUUUUCAUUCGAUUCAAAUUGGAGAAUGAUCCUUGAAAUGUCUAGUUUCCAGAAUGUCUUUUGGAGCCUCAUUUGGAGAUCCGAGGCAGAUUUGAUGUCUGUUGCAAAACAACCUCUUAAGAGCUCAAGUUGUUGAAUUAUUUUCUAUGUAUCAAAGUUUAUUUUAAAUGAUGUUUCAUGAAAGAUUUAGUAUAUGUGCGUAACGAGUUUGGGACUAUUUAUUUUAAAUGAGGUCCGUUCUUUUAUUUAAAUUAUGAUGGACUUUUAAUGAAUAUUUUUGGGAUUAAACUCUUAUUUCUUGAUUUAUAUAAAUUAUUUUUUUAAGGACUUAUAAAUAUGAAUUUCGUAGGCCUACUGACCUACUGUGAUCGACAGUUUGUCGAUGUCUAAUAGCUUUGAAAUUUUUAUAGCAAGUCCCUACAUGAGUCUUGAGUACCCUGGUAAAAUUUCAAGCCAUUCCAACUUCGUUUGAUACUUCUUUAAAAUGCAAAACCUAAACUGCACAUUACUACCGAGAAUUUCAGAGAACAGAGGAAAGCGUCAUUCAUUUCAGUAGCUUCCUGUGUGAUCUAGCUUUCCAAAUAUUUAUGGUAUUAACCUUAUUGUGUUAGAUAGAUAUCCACCAAAGUUGAGCCCAGUUUGACAACGUUUACUAUUUUUCAAAAAUCCAAGUUUUCGAUUGUUCAAAACUGCCGAACAUGGUAGAUCGUGGUAAAAACGUCAUAUCUCUCAAACCACUUGGAGUUUUCGACUCUACCUUUUUUUUAUAUGAAACUAGACUCGAAGAUCUUUCCUUUGGUAUGAGUCUUGAGUCCAGGAGAUGUCGGAGUCAGAACAGAUUAAAUUUUGAAAUUGAGUCAGUGUAAAAAUAGAGCAUGUUUUGAUGAUGUUUGAUUGUGAUUCUUAUGUGCCUUAUGUGUUUGUGUUGCCUAUGUGUUUGAAUGAGAUUAGACGAGGUAUGAUUGAUUUUUGACUGUCUUUAAUGUAAUGAAUUAUGGAUGCUAGAACCCUAAAACAUUAAAAGAUACCCUAGGCACGUAGAAUUAGACUUUGUCUUAUGACAAUUUCUUCACGAACUUAUCGACUCUUCAUCAAUGAAGGUCCGGGCGACAGAAAGUGAAGCCGAAGAAGAACGACUCCACGCCAGCUUUANCCUUAUUGUGUUAGCUAGAUAUCCACCAAAGUUGAGCCCAGUUUGACAACGUUUACUAUUUUUCAAAAAUCCAAGUUUUCGAUUGUUCAAAACUGCCGAACAUGGUAGAUCGUGGUAAAAACGUCAUAUCUCUCAAACCACUUGGAGUUUUCGACUCUACUUUUUUUUAUUAUGAACUAGACUCGAAGAUCUUUCUUUCGGUUAUGAGUCUCGAGUCCAGGAGAUGUCGGAGUCAGAACAGAUUAAAUUUUGUAAGUUGAGUCAGUGUAAAAACAAGAGCAUGUUUUGAUGAUGUUUGAUUGUGAUUCUUAUGUGCCUUAUGUGUUUGUGUUGCCUAUGUGUUUGAAUGAGAUUAGACGAGGUAUGAUUGAUUUUUGACUGUCUUUAAUGUAACGAAUUAUGGAUGCUAGAACCCUAAAACAUUAAAAGAUACCCUAGGCACGUAGAAUUAGACUUUGUCUUAUGACAAUUUCUUCACGAACUUAUCGACUCUUCAUCAAUGAAGGUCCGGGCGACAGAAAGUGAAGCCGAAGAAGAAACGACUCCACGCCAGCUUUAAGAACAAUUGAGGUGGGCAUUAUUUUAUUAUUACGUAUAUAGAGAUCCCCUGCGUGACGUAGGCCUCAUAUGCGAAUAUAUAUGCAUGAUAUGUUUUGACUAUUAUUCAGAUCUUAUGUAAAUGCUUAUAUGUUUAAUGCCCUUUAUGAAAAUGAAAAUGUUAUGAAAAUGAAAUGUUUAUGAAUGAUUGACUGCCAAAAUGUUUAUAUUUUUAUAUGUAUCCUAUCUGUGUUGGUUCGCCAACUUUAAAGGAAAUCCAAUUGGGAUCCUAUGCUAGACAAAGGUCGCUAGCUAGGGUUAACGUGUACACUCAUGGAGACCGCGAGUCGCUUGCGACCGGUCUUGGCGUCCGUGGUAAGGAGGCCUCCUUCCCGGCGCGUGACAGAAAGGACAGAUAUGGAUCAUAUAGACUGAAAAUGGGAUGCGCAUCACCUUAUGAAAAUGAAUGAAAGGUUUUAGUAAGCGCAGGUCAUUCAAGAAAACCCCUGUGUGUUACUGUUGGCAGUUCAAUUUAUAUAUGUAUGCAUGUUGUAUUUUCGGCUUAUGUCACUGAGUAUUUUUAUACUCAGCCCUGCAUGUAUUUCUAAAUGUGCAGGUUGAGCAGGCGAUGGAAUGGAUCGGUGUUGAGCGGAUUUCCCUUUUGAUGUUUAUGUAAUGAAACCUUGAGUAUGCAUCUCCAUAUGCAUAACUCACACGUUUUUCCGCUGCAAACACUCUGACUUAUUUAUCAUUUCUACUUGAACUUAUUACUACUUCAUUUUAAUUAACUUUCAGUUGGGGUCUAGUCGUUAUGGCAGACUCGUUUGUGAAUUACCCAAGUGGUUAUAUAUAUA